RNAcentral lists this ribosomal RNA (420 nucleotides) under uncultured bacterium. Its description in RNAcentral is "bacterial SSU rRNA". It matches the Rfam family "Bacterial small subunit ribosomal RNA", at positions 9 to 419 of the family's 1533-position model. The record is from RNAcentral.
GAGUUUGAUCCUGGCUCAGGACGAACGCUGGCGGCGUGCCUAAUACAUGCAAGUAGAACGCUGACUACUUUAGCUUGCUAGAGUAGAAGGAGUUGCGAACGGGUGAGUAACGCGUAGGUAACCUGCCUACUAGCGGGGGAUAACUAUUGGAAACGAUAGCUAAUACCGCAUAACAGUGUUUAACACAUGUUAGAUGCUUGAAAGAUGCAAUUGCAUCACUAGUAGAUGGACCUGCGUUGUAUUAGCUAGUUGGUGGGGUAACGGACCACCAAGGCGACGAUACAUAGCCGACCUGAGAGGGUGAUCGGCCACACUGGGACUGAGACACGGCCCAGACUCCUACGGGAGGCAGCAGUAGGGAAUAUUGCACAGUGGGCGAAAGCCUGAUGCAGCAACGCCGCGUGAACGAUGAAGGUCUUC